AUUUAGCACGAGCGCGUCUGAAACACUUGCUUCAGUUUCCGCUCCGGUGGACACUAACCUGUUCUCCGCAUCUUUCCCACGAGCCGCACACGAGACACUUUCCAAGGACAGCUGCACGGCAUGGAGACAUAACAGUGACCGGAAAGCGAUUUAGCUGUCGUCAUGGCGUUUCACGACAGUUUCACGACGAGAGAGUUACUCCUCAGCUUCCAUGGAUCCCUGCUGCUUUAAAGAGCCUGAGUUAAUCCUUUUACCUCCCUGCUCCACUCUCCAUCGAAUCCCUCUCCACCUCUCUGGAAACCAAUCCAAACUAAAUCCAAUUACAAGACUUAACAAAAUCAUCUUAAACUCACCUUGGUUGUUUUUCUCUUCUCUCUGGGAGAACCCCCGGCCUACCUGCACUUACCAGCUCUUCAAUCUUUGUAAUAAGAUCUGUAAAAGUGCUGCUGGCACCCGGGUCCUGCUUAUUGAGUCCAAUCCUUUGUUUAAUGUGACUGAAUGUUCUGGCCACCGGUUGGACUCUGCAGACUCAGCAGUCGUGUCCCAUCAAAGUGUCAGUCAGCUCGAACACGUCCUAACUUUGCUUGUUGAGAAGUUACAGGGAACACAUCGAGACAUGAACUCUGAAAGCCGAACCUUCACCUCGGUCCUGUGGGACCAAAGCUGGGCCCUCCGCCCCGUCACCUUCCUCCACCCAUCACUAGGGAUGGGUACCAGUAUCUGGUUCCAUCAUGGCACCGGUUCUGACAUAAACGGUAGUAACCAGACCGAAAAGCAGCGCACAUUUGGAUUCUAGCCAAUCAUUUUACCUUUGCAAGGAUAGUAGGCGGGCCCAGGUACGUACGUUCUUUUAGAGCAGAGCUACAGAUUAAAAAGGCCCAAGGCGAAGCGGUCAAAGUCUGGCUGUACUUCACAGCAAAAGAUGCAAACUCAGCAGCCUGCAACACGUGCUUUAAGGUGAUAUUGUGAUACAGUGCAAAGGAGGUAACACCACGAAUCUGAUGAAACACCUGGCGACGCAUAGCUUUUUUUAAAAUUGCAGAGAAAUGCGCCGUACUUGAUAGCUUGCUGCGAGACCUCACACCGAGCACAUCUACUGCGGGUGUGGUGCCUGUUAUCGGACCCGGAGUUAGCAACAUCCCCCAAGAACCCGAAGAGGAGAGUCCUGGCCCCUAGCCCUGCCAGUGUAGCAGGAAUGAUGAGGAUGAUGAUGCAGCAGCAGCCGUUCUUCUCUGCGUUAACAGUGACUGCCUCCGCUGCUGUCGGCCAAAUACAAAGGAACAGGAUGGAGGAUGUUCAGAGGGUUUGUGUGCCAGAAGAGGAAGCUAGGGACAGGGUGAGAUGGAGGCAGAUGAUCCACUGUGGUGACCCCUAGAGGAAGCAGGCAGAAGAAGAAGCCUGCAUGAUGAAGCAUCCUUGGGUACAAUACUGAACUUUGUGCCAACUUCCUCGAGUCUCUCGCGCUGGCCUGCCUCUCUUAUUUUGUCUCUUUGGCGUGUUGUGGUCACCUUGCCUCAGUGCAGCUCCUCCUGCCUCUCCGCCUUCCUUCAGGCACGCACCUGCCUGCAAUCAGCUCUACUGACUCACUUUCUGCUCGUCUAUGACUAGGCUAACUACUUCAAGCUUGUCACAACGUUGCACCAGCCAAGAGACGCCCUUGAUUCUGUUUGGUUUGUGUGUUUUAUGUCUUGGAUAACCUCUCUGUGUAACCUUUCUUGCUAUGAAGCCCCACUCCCAUGAGCCCUGUUUUGUGUGUGUGCGCAUGCCCUGGGAAGCCUGUGUUGCCUGACUGCCACUGCUGGAACUCAAAUGCCCCACCAUCAGCUUUGUUACUACCUUUUCACUGUGCAAAAAAAAACUUGUCAAUAAAUCUGUUGAACUCUUACAGUGCUUCACACCUAGGUGAUCAUUCUGUUAGCUCGUGACACUUUAAUGCAUCCGUGACAGAGAGUGCUUACAAGUAUAGAAAAAGGUAUCUUGAGUAACUACUAACUACCAGCCCAUUUAUCAAAACAAG
Molecule: long non-coding RNA, 2017 nt
Organism: Astatotilapia calliptera (eastern happy)
Lineage: Eukaryota; Metazoa; Chordata; Actinopteri; Cichliformes; Cichlidae
Source: Ensembl